UCCACUCACUACUGUAAGUUGCUCUGGAUAACAGCGUCUGCUAAAUGAAUAAAA
This is a non-coding RNA of Salmo salar (Atlantic salmon), 54 nucleotides long. Lineage: Eukaryota; Metazoa; Chordata; Actinopteri; Salmoniformes; Salmonidae. The record is from Rfam.